CGAGGGCCACUGGGGACGUAAGCUGUACGGGGCGAGUGUAGCUCCACCACCGCCUCCGCCUCAUCACCACCCGCGGGCGCCUCUCGUUUUCGCGCCUCAGGACAUGAGGCAGAUACUCAAGGAGGAACCGGUGCCACGUGCUUGGCCACAGCCCGCGCUCGCCGACAACGGAACGGUCGGCGUCGGCAGGGCGCACUUCGAAAAACAACCACCGAGUAAUUUGAGAAAAAGUAACUUCUUCCAUUUCGUGAUCGCUCUUUACGAUCGACACGGACAACCGAUCGAGAUAGAGAGGACUUCUUUCAUGGGUUUCGUCGAAAAAGAUCAGGAAUCCGAAGGACAGAAAACGAACAAUGGCAUUCAAUAUAGCCUGCAUCUGUUGUACUCCAACGGUGUUAGGCAGGUACAGGACAUCUACGUGAGGCUCAUCGACUCUGCGACCAAACAGGCUAUCAUGUACGAGGGACAAGAUAAAAAUCCUGAAAUGUGUAGGGUCCUUCUUACUCACGAAGUGAUGUGCAGCCGGUGUUGCGACAAGAAGAGCUGCGGAAACAGGAACGAGACCCCGAGCGAUCCCGUUAUCAUCGACCGAUUCUUCCUCAAAUUCUUCCUAAAGUGCAACCAGAACUGCCUUAAGAAUGCGGGCAAUCCACGUGACAUGAGACGUUUCCAGGUGGUCAUUUCCACGCAAGUAGGAGUAGAGGGACCGCUACUGGCCGUCUCGGACAACAUGUUCGUUCACAACAACAGCAAACACGGACGUAGAACGAAACGAUUGGAUCCCAGUGAUCCUGGAGAAUAUAACAGUCUUUAUACGCCAGUACCUCUUCAAACGCCGUGUAUAAAAGCGAUAUCGCCGAACGAAGGGUGGACAUCCGGCGGAUCGACAGUGAUAAUCAUUGGGGAGAAUUUCUUCGAUGGGCUUCAAGUUGUUUUUGGAUCGAUGUUGGUUUGGAGCGAGCUAAUUACACCAAAUGCGAUCAGAGUACAAACUCCUCCGCGACAGAUACCAGGCGUCGUUGAAGUCACGUUAUCCUAUAAAACUAAACAAUUCUGUAAAGGCGCACCUGGUAGAUUCGUCUACGUUUCAUUGAACGAACCCACGAUCGAUUACGGCUUCCAAAGGUUACAGAAGCUUAUUCCCCGGCAUCCUGGAGAUCCUGAAAAACUACCAAAAGAGAUCAUAUUGAAAAGGGCGGCCGAUCUUGCGGAAGCUUUGUACAGUAUGCCCAGAAGCGGAAACGCCGGAAUUACGGGAGCACCGAGAAGUCCGGGAUCGGGUCAUCCACCUGCACCUCCAACCUCCAGUUCGGCAACAGCGUUCAACUCGUAUACAGGACAGCUCGCGGUGACGGUACAGGAAAACGGUAGCGCGGCGAAAUGGACAGACGACGGUAGUUCCGUGACGACAGGAGCCGGUGGUGGAGGCGGAGGCGGCGGUGGUGGUAGCGUCGGAGGCCGAUGCCUACAGGCAAAGCAGCAGCGCGAGUCCACGCGGGGUUGUGACCGGCGGUGGUUAUUGCGGAAGUUCGGCCAGCACGCCUCACAGUCACAGCACGAACGGAAGUUACUCGGUAGCCAAUCCGUACACCGGUAGUCCAACCCUUUACACAUCGCUUGGUAUGUUGCAGGACUAGGAGAGGUGGUCGGUUCACCGUUCAACGUGAAUCCAUUUAUGUUGCCGACCUGCAGCCAAGGAUAUUCAAACGCCGCCAGUCCGUUGCUCUCGUCGAAUGGGAAAUAGUGUUACGAGAUGUAAGCUCCGGCGAAAAUAUCGAGGGGUUACGUGUUCACGGAAGCGAAAUCCAUCGACGCGGAGGCUUUCGUCGAAUUCUAAUAUUCCGAUAAUCAUCGUAUUCGCGAUUGACAAUCGCUUUCUUGAAUCGAAACCGGUCCUCUCGAUUCGUUCCUUUUCCUUUUUCCCCUCCCCCUCCCGGUUCCCGCGUAACCGAAGAAGAAACGGCCGCGGAGAAACCGUCCGCGGAAUAAUUUUCGUCGGAGUUUCGNNCGCUUCAGUUUGCGAGAGUACAGUGCAAAAAAAAAAAAAGAAAAAAGAAAAAAGUAAUAAUAAAAAAAAAAAGAUCGAUAACGUAUCAUCAUUAUCACGAUGAUCGAAUAAGUUAAGGAAUGAUACAUAUCGAAGCACAUAGGAGAGUUUUCUUCAUCCAUUGACAUAGUCGUUCGGUUCGUUUAUAGAUAUGUGUAACUUUUGGAA
This 2215-nucleotide unclassified non-coding RNA is filed under the name Apis dorsata (giant honeybee). RNAcentral describes it as "transcription factor collier, transcript variant X4". The record is from RNAcentral. Lineage: Eukaryota; Metazoa; Arthropoda; Insecta; Hymenoptera; Apidae.